Molecule: ribosomal RNA, 1407 nt
Filed under: metagenome
Description: SSU rRNA
Rfam family: Eukaryotic small subunit ribosomal RNA
Source: RNAcentral
UAUUGGACUACCAUGGCAGUAACGGGUAACGAAGAAUUAGGGUUCGAUUUCGGAGAGGGAGCAUGAGAAACGGCUACCACAUCUAAGGAAGGCAGCAGGCGCGUAAAUUACCCAAUCCUGACUCAGGGAGGUAGUGACAAGAAAUAGCAAACCGGGAACCUCAUGGUUUCACGGUAUUGCAAUGAGAACAAUUUAAAACCCUUAGCGAGAAUCAAGUGGGGGACAAGUCUGGUGCCAGCACCCGCGGUAAUUCCAGCUCCACUAGCGUAUAUUAAAGUUGUUGCAGUUAAAAAGCUCGUAGUUGAACCUCUGUCUGGGGCUAGUUUUGGCUUUGGUCAGGCUAGUUCUAGGCAUCCGCCUACAAGACUUAGAGGGCAUUCAGUUGUUCACUAGGAGGAGUAGGCAUUUUACUUUGAAAAAAUUAGAGUGUUUAAGGCAGGCAAUCGCCCGCAUAUAUUAGCAUGGAAUAAUAGAAUAGGACACUUUUCCAUUUCGUUGGUUAUUGGAAUCGUGUAAUGAUUAAUAGGGACAGUUGUGGGCAUUUGUAUUUAAUUGUCAGAGGUGAAAUUCUUGGAUUUAUUAAAGACAAACUAACGCGAAAGCAUUUGCCAAGGAUGUUUUCAUUAAUCAAGAAAAGUUAGGGGAUCAAAGACGAUCAGAUACCGUCCUAGUCUUAACUAUAAACUAUUCCGACUCAAUGUUUGACUGGCUUAUAUAACCAGUUGAGCGUUGUAUGAGAAAUCAAAGUCUUUAGGUUCUGGGGGGAGUAUGGUUGCAAAGCUGAAACUUAAAGGAAUUGACGGAAGAGCACAACCAGGAGUGGAUUCUGCGGCUUAAUUUGACUCAACACGGGGAAACUUACCAGGUUAAAACAAUAGUGGGAUUGACAGUUUGAGAGCGCUUUCUUGAUUGGUUGGGUGGUGGUGCAUGGCCGUUCUUAGUUGGUGGAGUGAUUUGUCUGCUUAAUUGCGUUAACGAACGAGACCUUAACCUGCUUACUAGACUGGCGAUCAUCAAUCGUUAGCUCUUCUUAGAGGGACUUUGGUUGUUUUAACUCCAAGGAAGUUUGAGGCAAUAACAGGUCUGUGAUGCCCUUAGAUAUCCUGGGCCGCACGCGUCAUACAAUGACUAGUUCAGAAAGUUUUCUCCUGACCCGAAAGGGGAUGGGUAAUCUUGAUAAUACUAGUCGUGUUAGGGAUCGAUCUUUGCAAUUAUAGAUCUUGAACGAGGAAUUCCUAGUAAGUGCGGUUCAUCAGACCGUACUGAUUACGUCCCUGCUCUUUGUACACACCGCCCGUCGCUUCUACCGAGUGGGUGGUCCGGUGAGAUAAUUGAACUUCGCAGGUAACUGAGAGGAAAGAUUAUCAAACCUAUCCACCUCGAGGAAGAAGAAGUCGUAACAAGGUU